AUUGGCUUAAUCUCUCAUUUCCCUUCUGUCCUGUUUCAGAACUCAUUCUUCUUCCCUGUCCUCUUGUUCAUUCUGUUAAUAUGUCUGUCAACCUCGCGCGCCCUAGGUAACAGGCUGUCCAUACACUACUGAAGCAUGCGUGUAUGAGUUUCAAUGUCCUAAAAUUACUUGAAAGGCUAGCACUGACUUUCCAUCAGUCUUCCAAAAACUCGGUAACAGAG
This is a non-coding RNA of Pelobates cultripes (western spadefoot toad), 221 nucleotides long. The record is from the annotation of a GenBank genome assembly. Lineage: Eukaryota; Metazoa; Chordata; Amphibia; Anura; Pelobatidae.